CCUAUGCAGGCCUUGAAUGCCUUCUGCUCAACCUUUGUCUGCACUUUAAGAGCAACUUCAGUCUUCAUCUCAGUCAGGAUGCCCUCCAUGUCAACAGCAUAUGGUGACUAGUUAAGGGGUAGACGUGCGCCACCUGGCUCAGCCUUGAGAAUUUUGCUUGAGUUGCUGAGACAAAGAUAUGUGCUUUCCACUGGGAUAUAACUGUGGUAGAAUAAAGGAAAGACUCCCAAAAGCCACCUUUGCAACCCCAGUGAAGAGUCUAAUGGAGGGUUGACGCCAACACAGAGAAAACCAAGUCCAGGGAUGGUGAGAGACUGUGUGCGCCCCUGGAUCCAGGUACUGAAUGCUGGCUAGGUCCAUCCCUGGACUUUUCAGGUAAGGAGCUCAGAAACUGAUCACUUCGCUUGAGUUGGAAUAUCACUUGGAACAGAGUUCUAAAAUAGACCUUUUAAGCAUGUUCCCACUCCAAAAGGUGAAGAAAGCCUAAUUUUUUCCCCCAGGUUCUUGAGUGCUCAUAGCUGAUUUCUUCCUCUUCAUAUCAGUCUCUACCAUUCACUAUUGUUAAAGCCAAAAGUUAACAAGUUCACAGGAAGUACCACUUAGGGCUGAUUACCUUGCUGGGAUUCCCAAGAGUAGCAUGAGGCCUAGAGAUUUUAUAAUAACAUACGAGAUGGAGAAGCUGCAAAGGGAAGGGGAAGGGAGAGCAGGAGAGAACUUGAAUCAACUCUGCUACAGAAUUACCGAUUUCUUCCUGGGCAGCUACAUUCUGAUUAAACCAACUGCUGGGUACUAAGACCAAAAAGCAAUGUGGUCUCACUGUGGGGGAGCAGCCUCUGUUCUCAUUUUCUUAAAUCACAAAGACAAUGGUAGAAGAACAAGAGGUAAAGUACUUAGAAAACAGAAGUUGAGAUUUCUAACUACUACGUUUCUCUCCAGGGGGUGAGGGAUGAGGAAGGAACAGACUGUGAUGACUAUCACCAUUUGAGUUUUACUCUGCUAUAUGCCGCUCUUCUAUCAAGUAACCCGAGGAAACACCUUAUAGGAAUAGCUCUCAAGACGUGGUUCCUGGGCCAGCAGCACCUGGUAGCUCGUUAGAGAUGGUCAACGCUGGAGCAUGAGGAAAGCAAAUUGGGUUGAACCUCUUCACAGGACCUGCUUCCUGAGAUCUUCUCGCCAGCAGCCUGCAGUGUGGGCUUUCUGAGAACAGAGGGCAUGAGGAAACGCCACAGCCCCAGAGACGUUCUCUGCCUGCAGGUGCUGACAAUACACAGACACACACCUGUGUCUAAGUGGGCCCAUUUUCACCUCUGGGAACAGGCCCUGCUGAGGAGGGGAGGUCCUCCAGCACAGCAAGGCAAGCCUGCUCACUCGGUCCUGCUUCCCACAGUCCAGCAAGCCCUGCUGGUUGCUUGUCAUUCCCUUCCUCUCUCGUGUCACCAUCUAGCAGCAUUCUGGGAGACGAUGACCCUUCUUUUCUCACGUACUCUAAUCCCAUGUUACCCAAGUGUGGUCCGUGGACCAGCAGCACCUGCAUUACCUGGGAACUUGGAAAAGCAGAGUCUCAGGCCACACCCAACCUACUGAAUCAGAAUCUGCUUUGUACCCAGAUCUCUGAAUGAUCUUUUUUUUCCUGUUUUUUAAAUUGUGGUAAAGUAAAUGUAACAUAAAAUUUACUAGCCUAGCCAUUUUUAAGUGUAAAAUUUAGUGUAUUUAAUACUUUCACAAUGUUGUGCAACCAUCACCACCAUCCAUGUUCAUAGCUCUUUUCAUCCUGCAAAACUGAAACAAUAUACUCAUUAAAGAAUGAUUCCUCAUUUCUCCCUCCCCCGGCCCCUGGCAAUCACCAUUCUACUUUCUGUCUCCGUGAUUUCGACUACUCUUAAGUGUCUCACUCAAAUAAGUGGAAUCAUACAGUAUCUGCCUUCUUGUGACCGGCUUAUUUUUUAGCAUAAUGUCCUCAAUGUUCAUCCAUGCUGUGGCAUAUGUCAGAAUUUCCUUCCUUUUUAAGGCCAAAUAAUGUUCCGUUGUAU
Molecule: long non-coding RNA, 2030 nt
Organism: Equus asinus (donkey)
Lineage: Eukaryota; Metazoa; Chordata; Mammalia; Perissodactyla; Equidae
Source: Ensembl